UGGGGAAUAUUGGACAAUGGGCGAAAGCCUGAUCCAGCCAUGCCGCGUGUGUGAAGAAGGCCUUUCGGUUAUAAAGCACUUUAAGCGAGGAGGAGGCUACUUAGAUUAAUACCCUAGGAUAGUGGACGUUACUCGCAGAAUAAGCACCGGCUAACUCUGUGCCAGCAGCCGCGGUAAUACAGAGGGUGCGAGCGUUAAUCGGAUUUACUGGGCGUAAAGCGUGCGUAGGCGGCUUCUUAAGUCGGAUGUGAAAUCCCUGAGCUUAACUUAGGAAUUGCAUUCGAUACUGGGAAGCUAGAGUAUGGGAGAGGAUGGUAGAAUUCCAGGUGUAGCGGUGAAAUGCGUAGAGAUCUGGAGGAAUACCGAUGGCGAAGGCAGCCAUCUGGCCUAAUACUGACGCUGAGGUACGAAAGCAUGGGGAGCAAACAGG
RNAcentral lists this ribosomal RNA (430 nucleotides) under bacterium. RNAcentral describes it as "partial 16S ribosomal RNA". It matches the Rfam family "Bacterial small subunit ribosomal RNA", at positions 355 to 776 of the family's 1533-position model. The record is from RNAcentral.